Molecule: long non-coding RNA, 1546 nt
Filed under: Carassius auratus (goldfish)
Lineage: Eukaryota; Metazoa; Chordata; Actinopteri; Cypriniformes; Cyprinidae
Description: lncRNA (ENSCARG00000008219.1)
Source: RNAcentral
AUGAAUUUCAGUGUGGGAUUGCAGGGGUUGCACAUAAUUCUACUGAUUAAUGCAAUUUCUGUUCUUGUAACGCUGGAAAUCCCUGCAAAUAUUUCAAUGUGUAAGACACUCACAACAGACAACGGAAUGUAUCAUUUAUACGUGCUUUUGAGUCUUACAAUUUUAAACAUUCAAGUGCUCAAUUCAGUACUUGCGCACUCUGUGGCUCUGCAAACAUUCGUCAGCGUUUUUCAUUCAGAGCGUGGAAGAGAGAAAAGGUAUCAGGCGAAGCGAGACAAUAAAGACAAGUGUACAGGUAAGGCAGAGUAGUGCAACAUGUGUGCUGUUGCAGCCUGGGCGUGUUACACCUGGCCUCCAUGUCAACCAGGCCGUGUCUCUACGGGAAGAGAGCAGAGAGGAGAGAGAGAGAGAGAGAAGCGCUGGCAUGCUGCUGGUACGGUAAAGGGCACUCGGGAAUCAGGGACGCAGGUGGAAAAGAUCCCCCAUCCAGCAUCUAAUCAGACAGAAGCCACUCUCACAAAACGCAGACAAUCUCAUUCAAUUUACUCCAGUGAAAUGUAAGACUCGUCGGAAAAACACACUGCUCUCCGUGUGGGAAGUGGGGGCAAUUAAAACGGACAGGUACUACACAGGCACUGUGAACAGCUCCCUUCACACAGCUCCACCUGAGGAGUUUAGUCAGGUAUAGUACGAUGGCAGGUCUUUCUCCAUAUAUAUACAUACACACAACAUGAAACAAAUAGAUAUAUUAUCAAAUGAAAUUGAAAUGAACGUACAUCCAAAUACAGAGGGAAGAACGGAACAAACAUCGACCUACGGGCAUCUUCACCACCGAGUGAGUGCAAAAACAUUGGAAUGUGGGAGUAGAUUUACAUGACAGGAACGGGACAGGUUCAGUUCACAAAUGAAGAAGCACACGCUCGUGCUCCACCUCGACUGAAAUACAAACAUCUGCCUUUUCCAUUCAGCAUGUGGCAUAAAUCAGUUCUGUCAAAUGAUCAAACACGUUGCUUAAAAGUAAAUCAUAAUAGCAAAAGUGAUUUCAGUGCAGUCUGCUGUACUUCAGAUGCCACUGAUUACAUUAUUGAAGUAGAAAAAGGAGACUGGAGACUCUUUUUGAUGAUUGCCAGUAUUUUCUCAGACUGGCCCAGAGCGCUGUAAGAGCGCCUCAGUGCUGCUACGGGACAAAAAGUCUCCCCCCUAUGCUUCAAUGAUUGGGUUUCAGUGUUUGACAUAAAGAAAAGCUCAAAGAACAAACUAGCUAAUAGCUCAGGGUUUUUGAAAUGUCUACUCGCUACUCUGUCGUAAGGACAUUUUUGGGACAAAUCGCAGUCCAAACGCAGCAUUGCUGUGAAAAUAGCAAUUGAUUUCACAUUUGCAGAUUCGCUUCAGCAUAAAUUCAGUUUCUGUUUCUUCACGGCAAGUGAAGCUACAUAAUUUUAUGACAACUUUCACUGCUACUUGACUUCAAAACGGAGAAAAAAAACAAACAACAACAACGGGUGGAAAGCAUUAGAGUCAAAUGAUACAUUCAUCCACACUGCAG